RNAcentral lists this ribosomal RNA (520 nucleotides) under uncultured Glomus. RNAcentral's name for it is "SSU rRNA". It matches the Rfam family "Eukaryotic small subunit ribosomal RNA", at positions 569 to 1090 of the family's 1831-position model. Lineage: Eukaryota; Fungi; Glomeromycota; Glomeromycetes; Glomerales; Glomeraceae. The record is from RNAcentral.
AGCAGCCGCGGUAAUUCCAGCUCCAAUAGCGUAUAUUAAAGUUGUUGCAGUUAAAAAGCUCGUAGUUGAAUUUCGGGAUCAAUACGUCGGUCGUGCUUUCGGGUACGUACUGGCGUCAUUGGUUUCUCCUUUCUGACGAACCAUGAUGUCAUUAAUUUGGUGUUAUGGGGAGUUAGGACUGUUACUUUGAAAAAAUUAGAGUGUUUAAAGCAGGCAUUAGCUUGAAUACAUUAGCAUGGAAUAAUGAAAUAGGACGUUCGAUCCUAUUUUGUUGGUUUCUAGGAUCAACGUAAUGAUUAAUAGGGAUAGUUGGGGGCAUUAGUAUUCAAUUGUCAGAGGUGAAAUUCUUGGAUUUAUUGAAGACUAACUACCGCGAAAGCAUUUGCCAAGGAUGUUUUCAUUAAUCAAGAACGAAAGUUAGGGGAUCGAAGACGAUCAGAUACCGUCGUAGUCUUAACCAUAAACUAUGCCGACUAGGGAUCGGAUGAUGUUAAUUUUUAAUGACUCAUUCGGCGCCUUA